GCUAGGCAUGGUGGCGCAUGCCUGUAACCCCAGCUACACAGAAGGCCGAGGCAGGAGGAUUGCAAAUUUGAAGGCAGCCUCAGCAGUUUAGUAAGGCCCUGAGCAACUUAGUGAGACCCUGUCUCCA
RNAcentral lists this small RNA (127 nucleotides) under Marmota monax (woodchuck). The record is from RNAcentral. Lineage: Eukaryota; Metazoa; Chordata; Mammalia; Rodentia; Sciuridae.